Molecule: ribosomal RNA, 621 nt
Filed under: Triticum aestivum (bread wheat)
Lineage: Eukaryota; Viridiplantae; Streptophyta; Magnoliopsida; Poales; Poaceae
Description: partial small subunit ribosomal RNA
Source: RNAcentral
AUGGCUGUCCCCACCAGGCGGCCAUUGGCACUGCUCAUCUAUUCUAGGUUUCUAGCCCUCUCUCGCUCUCUCUUUCCCCAGCUCUGCUCACGGCAAAGCACAGCCACAAGUUCGCAAGCCAGCACACGGCAAGCAGCAGAGAGACGAGAGAAAAUGGGCAACGCUCUGCCGUGCUUGGUCGACCAGGGCGUGAAGGCUCUGCCGGCGGCGGCGAAGCCCAGGCGGAGGAUGUACUCGCUCAAGCUUCUCAUGAGGGUCCUCCACAGGAUGAAGAGGACGCCGCGCGGCAACAAGAUUGGCGGCAAGUCCUCUCCGGAAUCUGAUUCUGAAGUAGGUGGAGCUGGCGUGAAGAGUGUCAAGGCCAGCCACGGCAAGGCCUCCCCGAGACGAGCGGCGGCGGGUGGUGGUGGCGGCCAGAGGAAGGGCGUCGUGAGGGUGAAGGUGCUCCUCAGCAAGGAGGAGGCGGCGCGGCUGCUGUCGCUGACCGUGGGGGGCCAGAAGACGGCGGCGCAGAUCGUGGCCGAGAUCAAGAGGAUGGAGGCCCGCCGCGCCGCCGCCAAUGCUGCCGCGGCGGCCGGGUGGCGGCCCGCGCUGGCGAGCAUCCCCGAGGAGUUGUCGUAG